Molecule: long non-coding RNA, 194 nt
Organism: Anopheles nili
Lineage: Eukaryota; Metazoa; Arthropoda; Insecta; Diptera; Culicidae
Exons: 3
Source: RefSeq, a predicted model, not a curated record
UUGUUGGAUAUCUUCUGAUGCUUUUUAACAUCGGAUGUAGUCGUUCAUAUUUUUGUAGGUGUAACUAAUAUAGUUUUUCUUUUUCAACAACUUCAACAUUGCAGGUUGUUACUAUGGGUUAAUAGCGCAUUGUUGCCGAUUUGUUACUGGUUAGAUGCUUUCUUUAAGAACUGAGAAUUCGUGGGAUUUCAAGG